AAUGAACGUUGGCGGCGUGGAUUAGGCAUGCAAGUCGAGCGGUAAGGCCCCUUCGGGGGUACACGAGCGGCGAAAGGGAGAGUAACGCGUGGACCACCUACCCCUAGAUUUGGGAUAGCUGCGGGAAACUGCAGGUAAUACCAAAUAAUGUCUUCGGACCAAAGGUGUGAUUCCGUCUAGGGACGGGUCCGCGUCCUAUUAGCUUGUUGGUAGGGUAACGGCCUACCAAGGCUUCGAUGGUACCGGGUGUGAGAGCAUGGCCCGGCUCACUGGGACUGAGACACUGCCCAGACGCCUACGGGUGGCUGCAGUCGAGAAUCUUCGGCAAUGGGCGAAAGCCUGACCGAGCGACGCCGCGUGUGGGAUGAAUGCCUUCGGGUUGUAAACCACUGUCAGUUGGGAGGAAAUGCUAUGAGGUUAUCCUCAUAGUUUGACCUAUCUUCAGAGGAAGUACGGGCUAAGUUCGUG
This 468-nucleotide ribosomal RNA is filed under the name uncultured bacterium. RNAcentral's name for it is "bacterial SSU rRNA". It matches the Rfam family "Bacterial small subunit ribosomal RNA", at positions 29 to 507 of the family's 1533-position model. The record is from RNAcentral.